Molecule: ribosomal RNA, 591 nt
Filed under: uncultured bacterium
Lineage: Bacteria
Description: bacterial SSU rRNA
Rfam family: Bacterial small subunit ribosomal RNA
Source: RNAcentral
UACUCCUACGGGAGGCAGCAGUGGGGAAUAUUGGACAAUGGGCGAAAGCCUGAUCCAGCCAUGCCGCGUGUGUGAAGAAGGUCUUCGGAUUGUAAAGCACUUUAAGUUGGGAGGAAGGGCAGUAAGUUAAUACCUUGCUGUUUUGACGUUACCAACAGAAUAAGCACCGGCUAACUUCGUGCCAGCAGCCGCGGUAAUACGAAGGGUGCAAGCGUUAAUCGGAAUUACUGGGCGUAAAGCGCGCGUAGGUGGUUCAGCAAGUUGGAUGUGAAAUCCCCGGGCUCAACCUGGGAACUGCAUCCAAAACUACUGAGCUAGAGUACGGUAGAGGGUGGUGGAAUUUCCUGUGUAGCGGUGAAAUGCGUAGAUAUAGGAAGGAACACCAGUGGCGAAGGCGACCACCUGGACUGAUACUGACACUGAGGUGCGAAAGCGUGGGGAGCAAACAGGAUUAGAUACCCCGGUAGUCCACGCCGUAAACGAUGUCGACUAGCCGUUGGGAUCCUUGAGAUCUUAGUGGCGCAGCUAACGCGAUAAGUCGACCGCCUGGGGAGUACGGCCGCAAGGUUAAAACUCAAAGGAAUUGACGGA